CAAUCAAACCGGGAGAUAGCUGGUUCUCCCCGAAAGCUAUUUAGGUAGCGCCUCGUGAAUUCAUCUCCGGGGGUAGAGCACUGUUUCGGCUAGGGGGCCAUCCCGGCUUACCAACCCGAUGCAAACUGCGAAUACCGGAGAAUGUUAUCACGGGAGACACACGGCGGGUGCUAACGUCCGUCGUGAAGAGGGAAACAACCCAGACCGCCAGCUAAGGUCCCAAAGUCAUGGUUAAGUGGGAAACGAUGUGGGAAGGCCCAGACAGCCAGGAUGUUGGCUUAGAAGCAGCCAUCAUUUAAAGAAAGCGUAAUAGCUCACUGGUCGAGUCGGCCUGCGCGGAAGAUGUAACGGGGCUAAACCAUGCACCGAAGCUGCGGCAGCGAACGUAUCACCCAAGACAACUUUACGGAGUUGACGAUUGACGGAGCGAAGCGACGUCAAAGCGUUCAUUAAAGUCGAGUUGGCUUAGGGAUACGUUCGUUGGGUAGGGGAGCGUUCUGUAAGCCUGUGAAGGUGUGUCGUGAGGCAUGCUGGAGGUAUCAGAAGUGCGAAUGCUGACAUAAGUAACGAUAAAGCGGGUGAAAAGCCCGCUCGCCGGAAGACCAAGGGUUCCUGUCCAACGUUAAUCGGGGCAGGGUGAGUCGACCCCUAAGGCGAGGCCGAAAGGCGUAGUCGAUGGGAAACGGGUUAAUAUUCCCGUACUUGGUGUUACUGCGAAGGGGGGACGGAGAAGGCUAUGUUGGCCGGGCGACGGUUGUCCCGGUUUAAGCGUGUAGGUGUGUGUUCCAGGUAAAUCCGGUUCACUUUAACACUGAGGCGUGACGACGAGGCACUACGGUGCUGAAGCAACAAAUGCCCUGCUUCCAGGAAAAGCCUCUAAGCAUCAGGUAACACGAAAUCGUACCCCAAACCGACACAGGUGGUCAGGUAGAGAAUACCAAGGCGCUUGAGAGAACUCGGGUGAAGGAACUAGGCAAAAUGGUGCCGUAACUUCGGGAGAAGGCACGCUGACACGUAGGUGAAGUGAUUUACUCAUGGAGCUGAAGUCAGUCGAAGAUACCAGCUGGCUGCAACUGUUUAUUAAAAACACAGCACUGUGCAAACACGAAAGUGGACGUAUACGGUGUGACGCCUGCCCGGUGCCGGAAGGUUAAUUGAUGGGGUCAGCGUAAGCGAAGCUCCUGAUCGAAGCCCCGGUAAACGGCGGCCGUAACUAUAACGGUCCUAAGGUAGCGAAAUUCCUUGUCGGGUAAGUUCCGACCUGCACGAAUGGCGUAAUGAUGGCCAGGCUGUCUCCACCCGAGACUCAGUGAAAUUGAACUCGCUGUGAAGAUGCAGUGUACCCGCGGCAAGACGGAAAGACCCCGUGAACCUUUACUAUAGCUUGACACUGAACAUUGAGCCUUGAUGUGUAGGAUAGGUGGGAGGCUUUGAAGUGUGGACGCCAGUCUGCAUGGAGCCGACCUUGAAAUACCACCCUUUAAUGUUUGAUGUUCUAACGUGGACCCGUAAUCCGGGUUGCGGACAGUGUCUGGUGGGUAGUUUGACUGGGGCGGUCUCCUCCUAAAGAGUAACGGAGGAGCACGAAGGUUGGCUAAUCCUGGUCGGACAUCAGGAGGUUAGUGCAAUGGCAUAAGCCAGCUUGACUGCGAGCGUGACGGCGCGAGCAGGUGCGAAAG
RNAcentral lists this ribosomal RNA (1679 nucleotides) under Salmonella enterica. RNAcentral's name for it is "partial 23S ribosomal RNA". It matches the Rfam family "Bacterial large subunit ribosomal RNA", at positions 830 to 2405 of the family's 2925-position model. Lineage: Bacteria; Pseudomonadati; Pseudomonadota; Gammaproteobacteria; Enterobacterales; Enterobacteriaceae. The record is from RNAcentral.